Molecule: ribosomal RNA, 749 nt
Filed under: uncultured bacterium
Lineage: Bacteria
Description: bacterial SSU rRNA
Rfam family: Bacterial small subunit ribosomal RNA
Source: RNAcentral
ACGCUGGCGGCAGGCCUAACACAUGCAAGUCGAGCGGUAGAGAGAAGCUUGCUUCUCUUGAGAGCGGCGGACGGGUGAGUAAUGCCUAGGAAUCUGCCUGGUAGUGGGGGAUAACGUUCGGAAACGGACGCUAAUACCGCAUACGUCCUACGGGAGAAAGCAGGGGACCUUCGGGCCUUGCGCUAUCAGAUGAGCCUAGGUCGGAUUAGCUAGUUGGUGGGGUAAUGGCUCACCAAGGCGACGAUCCGUAACUGGUCUGAGAGGAUGAUCAGUCACACUGGAACUGAGACACGGUCCAGACUCCUACGGGAGGCAGCAGUGGGGAAUAUUGGACAAUGGGCGAAAGCCUGAUCCAGCCAUGCCGCGUGUGUGAAGAAGGUCUUCGGAUUGUAAAGCACUUUAAGUUGGGAGGAAGGGUUGUAGAUUAAUACUCUGCAAUUUUGACGUUACCGACAGAAUAAGCACCGGCUAACUCUGUGCCAGCAGCCGCGGUAAUACAGAGGGUGCAAGCGUUAAUCGGAAUUACUGGGCGUAAAGCGCGCGUAGGUGGUUAGUUAAGUUGGAUGUGAAAUCCCCGGGCUCAACCUGGGAACUGCAUUCAAAACUGACUGACUAGAGUAUGGUAGAGGGUGGUGGAAUUUCCUGUGUAGCGGUGAAAUGCGUAGAUAUAGGAAGGAACACCAGUGGCGAAGGCGACCACCUGGACUGAUACUGACACUGAGGUGCGAAAGCGUGGGGAGCAAACAGGA